UUCCGUAGGUGAACUUGCGGAGGGAUCAUUACA
This 33-nucleotide ribosomal RNA is filed under the name Cladosporium sp. MH6. RNAcentral's name for it is "partial 18S ribosomal RNA". The record is from RNAcentral. Lineage: Eukaryota; Fungi; Ascomycota; Dothideomycetes; Cladosporiales; Cladosporiaceae.